This 2789-nucleotide ribosomal RNA is filed under the name Atopobiaceae bacterium UBA1367. RNAcentral's name for it is "bacterial LSU rRNA". It matches the Rfam family "Bacterial large subunit ribosomal RNA". Lineage: Bacteria; Bacillati; Actinomycetota; Coriobacteriia; Coriobacteriales; Atopobiaceae. The record is from RNAcentral.
GUAAGGGCGCACGGUGGAUGCCUUGGCACAGGAAGCCGACGAAGGACGUGACAAGCUGCGAUAAGCCACGGUGAGGAGCACAUAUCCCCUGACCCGUGGAUCUCCGAAUGGGCGAACCCGGCGGGACCCAUAUCCCGUCACCCCCGGCCGAACACAUAGGCCGGGAGGAGGUAACCCGGGGAACUGAAACAUCUCAGUACCCGGAGGAAGAGAAAUCAAACGAGAUUCCCCUAGUAGUGGCGAGCGAACGGGGACCUAGGCCAAACCGGCGCGCGCUUCGGCGCCGCCGGGGUUGUGGGGCCGGUCGUCGCGCAGUCACAAAACCUCGCGGAAGCGGAACGGCCUGGGAAGGCCGGCGGCACAGGGUUAGAGCCCCGUACGCGAAUCCGCGAGGACUGCCGACCGGUGCCCGAGUACUGCCGGACACGUGAAACCCGGUGGGAAGCAGGGGGGACCACCCUCCAAGCCUAAAUACUCUCCUGUGACCGAUNNAAGCACCCCGGGAGGGGAGUGAAACAGUACCUGAAACCGUGCGCCUACAAGCAGUCGGAGCGGCCGCCAGCGGCCGUGACGGCGUGCCUUUUGUAGAAUGAGCCAGCGAGUUACGGUCUGUGGCGAGGUUAAGCUGGGAAGCGAGCCGCAGCGAGAGCGAGUCCCAACCGGGCGUUGGAGUCGCAGGCCGUAGACGCGAAGCCAGGUGAGCUAUCCAUGGGCAGGCUGAAGCGGGGGUAAGACCCCGUGGAGGGCCGAACCCACCUAGGUUGAAAACUGGGGGGAUGACCUGUGGAUAGGGGUGAAAGGCCAAUCAAACCUGGAGAUAUCUCGUUCUCCCCGAAAUAGCUUUAGGGCUAGCGUCGGGAGUUUACCAACGGAGGUAGAGCACUGAAUGGGUGCGGGGGCCUCACCGCCUACCAAGCUCAAUCAAACUCCGAAUGCCGUUGGUCCAUAUCCCGGCAGUCAGAACAUGUGGGCUAAGCCGUGUGUUCGAGAGGGAAACAGCCCAGACCGCCCGCUAAGGUCCCCAAGUCAGUGCUAAGUGGCAAAGGAUGUGCGUUUGCUCAGACAACCAGGAUGUUGGCUUAGAAGCAGCCAUCCAUUCAAAGAGUGCGUAACAGCUCACUGGUCGAGUGGACAUGCGCCGACAAUAUACGGGGCUAAGCACUGCACCGAAGCGGCGGACCGGCCUUCCGGCCGGUGGUAGGGGAGCGUUCCGUCCGCGGCGAAGCCGUGGGGUGACCCACGGUGGAGCGGUCGGAAGUGAGAAUGCUGGCAUGAGUAACGAGAGCGGGGUGGAAAACCCCGCCGCCGUAAACCCAAGGUUUCCUGGGCAAGGCUAAUCCUCCCAGGGUCAGUCGGGAGCUAAGGCGAGGCCGGAAGGCGUAGCCGAUGCACAGCAGGUCGACAUUCCUGCACCUCCGACGCGGCGCUUGACCGACGGGGUGACGGAGAAGGGUAGCUCAGCGGGGUUCUGGACGUCCCCGUGAGGCCACGUAGGCUGAGGGGCAGUGAAAUGCGCCCCUCGCGACGGCUGAGGUGGCGGACGAAGCGAACGAGUGAAGUGAGUGAGCCCAUGCUUCCGAGAAAAACCCCUAGGGAGCCGCUAGGAGCCCGUACCGCAAACCGACACAGGUGGGUGGGUAGAACAUACCAAGGCGAUCGGGAGAACCAUGGUUAAGGAACUCGGCAAAAUUGCCCCGUAACUUCGGGAGAAGGGGUGCCGCAGCCGGUGGACGGGCGUGCCCCGCGAGCUGGCAGCGGCCACAGUGAAGAGGCCCAAGCGACUGUUUAUCAAAAACACAGGACUCUGCUGAAGUCGUAAGACGACGUAUAGGGUCUGACGCCUGCCCGGUGCCGGAAGGUCACGAGGAGUUGUCAGCGCGAGCGAAGCAGCGAAUCUAAGCCCCGGUAAACGGCGGCCGUNNNNNNNNNNNNNNNNNNNNNNNNNNNNNNNNNNNNNNNNACCCCGUGAACCUUUACUGCAGCUAGACAUUGGCUGCCGGUUCGUCGUGUAGAGGAUAGGUGGGAGACUACGAAGUGGGGACGCCAGUCUCCAUGGAGUCGCCCUUGGAAUACCACCCUCGGCGUUCUGGCAUCCUAACCCCUCGCCGUGACCCGGGAGGGGGACCGUGUCUGGUGGGUAGUUUGACUGGGGCGGUCGCCUCCUAAAACGUAACGGAGGCGCACGUAAGGUCUGCUCAGGAUGGUCGGCAACCACCCUUUUGAGUGCAAGAGCAUAAGCAGGCUUGACUGCGAGGCCCACAAGCCGAGCAGAUGGGAAACCAGGUUCUAGUGAUCCGGCGGCUCAGAGUGGAAUGGCCGUCGCUCAACGGAUAAAAGGUACUCCGGGGAUAACAGGCUGAUCUUCCCCAAGAGUCCACAUCGACGGGAAGGUUUGGCACCUCGAUGUCGGCUCAUCGCAUCCUGGGGCUGGAGCAGGUCCCAAGGGUAUGGCUGUUCGCCAUUUAAAGCGGUACGCGAGCUGGGUUCAGAACGUCGUGAGACAGUUCGGUCCCUAUCCUCCGUGGGCGUAGGAAAAUUGAGGGAGGCUGCCCCCAGUACGAGAGGACCGGGGUGGACGGACCUCCGGUGCACGGGUUGUCGACCAACGGCACCGCCCGGUAGCUGUGUCCGGUCUGGAUAACCGCUGAAAGCAUCUAAGCGGGAAGCCAGUCCCAAGAUGAGUUUUCCCUUCGGUAAGGCCCCUGGCAGACCACCAGGUUGAUAGGCGGCAGGUGCAAGCGCGGCGACGCGCUCAGCCGAGCCGUACUAAUGGGCCGAGCUCUUCUCCC